ACCUACCUCCCUCCUCUGUUUUUACAUUUUCAUCAAUAGGUUUUCCAGUAGAGAAAUGAUGGUGCUGUGCCCACAGGUGGGAUGGAGACCAGGCCGCUCACUUUUGUUCUGAGCAAGUGCAAAUCAUAUUUUCAGCACUUCACAAUACAAUCAAUGAGCUAGGAAACAAAGCAUUAGCAUGGCAGCAGCGCACCGUCACUAGCAACAUAAUUGAGUUUCGGUGACAAACGGAUAUGUAUCAUUUGCCUUGGGACCUAUUGUUCUCUCAGCUCUUUAUUUUGUUGGGCCUGAGCUUUCAGAGGAGGUAGUCAACAGUAGAGCACAUGUGGGCGUCUCCUCAAUGAUGUCCAGGGCUUCGAGAGGGAAGCAGAACAAGGGAAAUUGAAUGGUGUUUUCUUGCAAAUGAUGCACAGCUGCUCUGGCAAUAUUACCUAAGAAGAGGCCAUAAAAGAGAUCAGAGCUGUCAUUGAGAGUAAUAGGACGAAACUCUUAGAAUUAGUAUUGAAGACAGAGGGAAGUGUAGUUCCAAGAGAAUGCAAGGAUGUGUUUUGGAAGAUGAGCAAAAUACUCCACCUCUUCUAUAUGAGAAAUGAUGGGUUCACAUCUCCAAAGGAAGUGGUCAAUUAUGUAAAUGCAGUCAUUUAUGAACCAAUCAAUAUCUUCAAAGGAAAUGGUCAAUUAUGUAAAUGCAGUCAUUUAUGAACCAAUCAAUCUGAUAUAGCUAAUAAAGGAUGAAAAAUAUCAGCAUUAGUAUAUGUGGGGCCUUCUAUCUUGUAUUUAGCACAAAUACUAAGGCAUUGAGUGGUUAGUGGAUAUUUUUCUUUCUCCUAAUCAACAGCAACUUUAUUGAUCAAAUUUUGGAAUAAAAUUGAGAUUUAUCUUAUGGUUAA
This is a long non-coding RNA of Macadamia integrifolia, 890 nucleotides long. RefSeq lists it as uncharacterized. NCBI's taxonomy places the organism in Eukaryota, Viridiplantae, Streptophyta, Magnoliopsida, Proteales, Proteaceae. The transcript has 3 exons. The record is from RefSeq and is a predicted model, not a curated record.